UACGGAGGGUGCAAGCGUUAUCCGGAAUCACUGGGCUUAAAGGGCGCGUAGGCUGCUGUAUAAGUCAGGGGUGAAAGCUUGUCGCUUAACGAUGGAAUUGCCUUUGAUACUGUGCGGCUUGAAACUAGGAGAGGUUGGCGGAAUGCGGCAUGUAGCGGUGAAAUGCGUAGAUAUGUCAUAGAACACCGAUUGCGAAGGCAGCUAGCUAACCUAUUUAUGACGCUGAGGCGCGAAAGCGUGGGGAGCAAACAGG
Molecule: ribosomal RNA, 253 nt
Filed under: uncultured bacterium
Lineage: Bacteria
Description: partial 16S ribosomal RNA
Rfam family: Bacterial small subunit ribosomal RNA
Source: RNAcentral